Molecule: ribosomal RNA, 497 nt
Filed under: uncultured bacterium
Lineage: Bacteria
Description: partial 16S ribosomal RNA
Rfam family: Bacterial small subunit ribosomal RNA
Source: RNAcentral
GAUGAACGCUGGCGGCGUGCCUAAUACAUGCAAGUCGAGCGAACAGACGAGGAGCUUGCUCCUCUGACGUUAGCGGCGGACGGGUGAGUAACACGUGGAUAACCUACCUAUAAGACUGGGAUAACUUCGGGAAACCGGAGCUAAUACCGGAUAAUAUAUUGAACCGCAUGGUUCAAUAGUGAAAGACGGUUUUGCUGUCACUUAUAGAUGGAUCCGCGCCGCAUUAGCUAGUUGGUAAGGUAACGGCUUACCAAGGCAACGAUGCGUAGCCGACCUGAGAGGGUGAGAGGCCACACUGGAACUGAGACACGGUCCAGACUCCUAAGGGAGGGAGCAGUACGGAAUCUUCCGCAAUGGGCGAAAGCCUGACGGAGCAACGCCGCGUGAGUGAUGAAGGUCUUCGGAUCGUAAAACUCUGUUAUUAGGGAAGAACAAAUGUGUAAGUAGCUAUGCACGUCUUGACGGUACCUAGUCAGAAAGCCACGGCUAACUACGUG